This 859-nucleotide ribosomal RNA is filed under the name Staphylococcus aureus. Its description in RNAcentral is "bacterial SSU rRNA". It matches the Rfam family "Bacterial small subunit ribosomal RNA", at positions 45 to 887 of the family's 1533-position model. Lineage: Bacteria; Bacillati; Bacillota; Bacilli; Caryophanales; Staphylococcaceae. The record is from RNAcentral.
UGCUAUACAUGCAAGUCGAGCGAACGGACGAGAAGCUUGCUUCUCUGAUGUUAGCGGCGGACGGGUGAGUAACACGUGGAUAACCUACCUAUAAGACUGGGAUAACUUCGGGAAACCGGAGCUAAUACCGGAUAAUAUUUUGAACCGCAUGGUUCAAAAGUGAAAGACGGUCUUGCUGUCACUUAUAGAUGGAUCCGCGCUGCAUUAGCUAGUUGGUAAGGUAACGGCUUACCAAGGCAACGAUGCAUAGCCGACCUGAGAGGGUGAUCGGCCACACUGGAACUGAGACACGGUCCAGACUCCUACGGGAGGCAGCAGUAGGGAAUCUUCCGCAAUGGGCGAAAGCCUGACGGAGCAACGCCGCGUGAGUGAUGAAGGUCUUCGGAUCGUAAAACUCUGUUAUUAGGGAAGAACAUAUGUGUAAGUAACUGUGCACAUCUUGACGGUACCUAAUCAGAAAGCCACGGCUAACUACGUGCCAGCAGCCGCGGUAAUACGUAGGUGGCAAGCGUUAUCCGGAAUUAUUGGGCGUAAAGCGCGCGUAGGCGGUUUUUUAAGUCUGAUGUGAAAGCCCACGGCUCAACCGUGGAGGGUCAUUGGAAACUGGAAAACUUGAGUGCAGAAGAGGAAAGUGGAAUUCCAUGUGUAGCGGUGAAAUGCGCAGAGAUAUGGAGGAACACCAGUGGCGAAGGCGACUUUCUGGUCUGUAACUGACGCUGAUGUGCGAAAGCGUGGGGAUCAAACAGGAUUAGAUACCCUGGUAGUCCACGCCGUAAACGAUGAGUGCUAAGUGUUAGGGGGUUUCCGCCCCUUAGUGCUGCAGCUAACGCAUUAAGCACUCCGCCUGGGGAGUACGACC